RNAcentral lists this ribosomal RNA (278 nucleotides) under uncultured bacterium. RNAcentral's name for it is "partial 16S ribosomal RNA". It matches the Rfam family "Bacterial small subunit ribosomal RNA", at positions 79 to 354 of the family's 1533-position model. The record is from RNAcentral.
CUUGCUUCGCCGCCGCGACCGGCGCACGGGUGAGUAACACGUAUGCAACCUGCCCCUGUCAGGGGGACAACCCGCCGAAAGGCGGGCUAAACCCGCGUACAUGCCACCGGGGCAUCCCGGAGGCAGGAAAGGCUUCGGCCGGACAGGGAUGGGCAUGCGGCGCAUUAGGCAGUAGGCGGGGUAACGGCCCACCUAACCGACGAUGCGUAGGGGUUCUGAGAGGAAGGUCCCCCACACUGGUACUGAGACACGGACCAGACUCCUACGGAAGGCAGCAG